Molecule: signal recognition particle RNA, 97 nt
Filed under: Campylobacterales bacterium
Lineage: Bacteria; Pseudomonadati; Campylobacterota; Epsilonproteobacteria; Campylobacterales
Also listed under: 1 other name
Description: signal recognition particle sRNA small type
Rfam family: Bacterial small signal recognition particle RNA
About the family: The signal recognition particle (SRP) is a universally conserved ribonucleoprotein involved in the co-translational targeting of proteins to membranes. Archaeal SRP consists of a 7S RNA and homologues of the eukaryotic SRP19 and SRP54 proteins.
Source: RNAcentral
UCUUUAGACCCUUACAAUUAUUAUCUAAGGCAAUGCCCCAGGAUGGGAACAUAGCAAGGCACUUUAUUUAGUGGUGUGUUUGGGUAUCUGGAGAAGA